GAGACACCCCUAUGGAGCAGGACUUGCUUUAGUGGGGCUUUGGUGCUAACUAAGUCUUCCCCUUGAGUGUGUUGCU
Molecule: microRNA precursor, 76 nt
Filed under: Myotis brandtii (Brandt's bat)
Lineage: Eukaryota; Metazoa; Chordata; Mammalia; Chiroptera; Vespertilionidae
Description: mir-9229 microRNA precursor family
Rfam family: mir-9229 microRNA precursor family
Source: Rfam by way of RNAcentral